Daphnia carinata is the source of this 510-nucleotide long non-coding RNA. RefSeq lists it as uncharacterized. Lineage: Eukaryota; Metazoa; Arthropoda; Branchiopoda; Diplostraca; Daphniidae. The transcript is spliced from 4 exons. The record is from RefSeq and is a predicted model, not a curated record.
AGUUUUCAACCUGCUGUGUGGAUUCCCGUCUACAGGCCAUUACGUUUGCACGUUUCAACGGGCCUACUUCACAUCCAGAUGAAUCCAUGAAAAAGAAGGCUGAUCCGAAGUAAAUCGAAGCUUUUGAUUACAAGACACAGACGACCUGGAGGAAAACGAGCCUGGCUGAAAGUAAUUUGCUGCAGUGCAUCAUCAUAUUUUGCUGAAGGGAUGAAAAGAACGACAUCAGAUUGUCAUAAAGAGUCACUUGGAUAUCGUGCAACUACAUCGAUCGUUAUAUUCGUGGUGCCCUAUCCUCUGCAUCGUCCUCUACACAUUUUGUAGGGCGACCCACGAACACACAUCGGCCCUGUUUCCAGUCGGCUGAACAUGGGACCCUUCUGAUCCCUUUGACUUGCACGACUGUACGCGAUUGCUCCCGCGGUCACGGUUAAUGUAUAGACUCCCCCCCCCCUCUUUUUUUUUUUUUUUUUUAAUAUGGAAGUGUACCAGGAGGCAGCGAGGCCAUCA